Molecule: long non-coding RNA, 1204 nt
Organism: Oncorhynchus tshawytscha (Chinook salmon)
Lineage: Eukaryota; Metazoa; Chordata; Actinopteri; Salmoniformes; Salmonidae
Source: Ensembl
CAUUGAAGGGUUUAGGAAAACUGUGACCUGGUAGAAUCCAUUGAAGGGUUUAGGUAAACUGUCUGGGACCUGAAGUAUCCAUUGAAGGGUUUAGGUAAACUGGGACCUGAUGAAUCCAUUGAAGGGUUUAGGUAAACUGUCUGGGACCUGGAAGAAUCCUUUGAAGGGGUUAGGUAAACUGUCUGGGACCUGGAAGAAUCCUUUGAAGGGGUUAGGAAAACUGUCUGGGACCUGAAGAAUCCAUUGAAGGGUUUAGGUAAACUGGGACCUGGUAGACUCCAUUGAAGGGUUUAGGUAAACUGGGACCUGUAAGAAUCCAUUGAAGGGUUUAGGUAAACUGUCUGGGACCUGAAGAAUCCAUUGAAGGGUUUAGGUAAACUGGGACCUGGUAGAAUCCAUUGAAGGGUUUAAGUAAACUGUCUGGGACCUGAAGAAGCCAUUGAAGGGUUUAGGUAAACUGUCUGGGACCUGAAGAAUCCAUUGAAGGGUUUAGGUAAACUGGGACCUGGUAGAAUCCAUUGCAGGGUUUAGGUAAACUGGGACCUGGUAGAAUCCAUUGAAGGGUUUAGGUAAACUGGGACCUAGAAGAAUCCAUUGAAGGGUUUAGGUAAACUGGGACCUGGUAGAAUCCAUUGAAGGGUUUAGGUAAACUGUCUGGGACCUGGUAGAAUCCAUUGAAGGGUUUAGGUAAACUGGGACCUGAAGUAUCCAUUGAAGGGUUUAGGUAAACUGGGACCUAGAAGAAUCCAUUGAAGGGUUUAGGUAAACUGGGACCUGGUAGAAUCCAUUGAAGGGUUUAGGUGAACUGGGACCUAGAAGAAUCCAUUGAAGGGUGUAGGUGAACUGUCUGGGACCUGGUAGAAUCCAUUGAAGGGUUUAGGUAAACUGGGACCUAGAAGAAUCCAUUGAAGGGUUUAGGUAAACUGGGACCUAGAAGAAUCCAUUGAAGGGUUUAGGUAAACUGGGACCUAGAAGAAUCCAUUGAAGGGUUUAGGUAAACUGUUUGGGACCUGGUAGAAUCCAUUGAAGGGUUUAGGUGAACUGGGACCUAGAAGAAUCCAUUGAAGGGUUUAGGUGAACUGGGACCUGGUAGAAUCCAUUGAAGGGUGUAGGUAAACUGGGACCUAGAAGAAUCCAUUGAAGGGUUUAGGUAAACUGGGAUCUAGAAGAAUCCAUUGAAGGGUGUAGGUGAACUGUCUGGGAC